GGGCACGUGGUCUAGUGGUAUGAUUCACCCUUAGGGUGGGUGCGGUCCCCGGUUCGAUUCCGGGCUUGCCCC
Lizanozyma spartinae is the source of this 72-nucleotide non-coding RNA. Lineage: Eukaryota; Fungi; Ascomycota; Pichiomycetes; Serinales; Debaryomycetaceae. The record is from the annotation of a RefSeq genome assembly.